Molecule: ribosomal RNA, 497 nt
Filed under: uncultured bacterium
Lineage: Bacteria
Description: partial 16S ribosomal RNA
Rfam family: Bacterial small subunit ribosomal RNA
Source: RNAcentral
GACGAACGCUGGCGGCGUGCCUAAUACAUGCCAGUUGAGCGCUGAAGGUUGGUACUUGUACCAACUGGAUGAGCAGCGAACGGGUGAGUAACGCGUGGGGAAUCUGCCUUUGAGCGGGGGACAACAUUUGGAAACGAAUGCUAAUACCGCAUAAAAACUUUAAACACAAGUUUUAAGUUUGAAAGAUGCAAUUGCAUCACUCAAAGAUGAUCCCACGUUGUAUUAGCUAGUUGGUGAGGUAAAGGCUCACCAAGGCGAUGAUACAUAGCCGACCUGAGAGGGUGAUCGGCCACAUUGGGACUGAGACACGGCCCAAACUCCUACGGGAGGCAGCAGUAGGGAAUCUUCGGCAAUGGACGAAAGUCUGACCGAGCAACGCCGCGUGAGUGAAGAAGGUUUUCGGAUCGUAAAACUCUGUUGGUAGAGAAGAACGUUGGUGAGAGUGGAAAGCUCAUCAAGUGACGGUAACUACCCAGAAAGGGACGGCUAACUACGUG